GCCGGGCGCACGGGGGAUCAGCUGGCUGGCGGGCGCCGAUCGCGGCCCCGGCUCUGGCUGCAGCGCCACCUCCUCUCCGCGUCGCAGGCCGGCUCAGCGGCUGUGACAAUGUUGCGGGGCUGGUAACUGGGCGCCGGCCGCUGAGCAUUCUCAAGUUUAAACUUACACGAAUCGCUCUCUGGAGGAGGAGGAGACCCGCCGCGCGAUUGACACGCGUAUUCCUAUAGGCAUCCUCCUCCCUCAGCUCCCACCCCCAAGGCCGGAUUCGGGUUGGCUUCUCUGCGAGCUGAAAUCCGAGAAGAAAUCUUUAGAUCUAUUUUCUUAAAAAAGGAAAAAAAAAAAUCUAGAAAUCAUUGGCAUUUUGCUUUGCUGCUUCUUAUUUGCAAGAUGAAGAAGUUUUUCGACUCCCGGAGAGAGCAGGGCGGCUCUGGCCUGGGCUCCGGCUCCAGCGGAGGAGGGGGCAGCACCUCCGGUCUGGGCAGUGGCUACAUUGGAAGGGUCUUUGGCAUCGGGCGACAGCAGGUCACUGUGGACGAGGUGUUGGCAGAAGGUGGAUUUGCUAUCGUGUUUCUGGUGAGGACAAGCAAUGGGAUGAAAUGUGCCUUGAAACGCAUGUUUGUCAACAAUGAGCAUGAUCUCCAGGUGUGCAAGAGGGAAAUCCAGAUCAUGAGGGACCUGUCAGGGCACAAGAACAUUGUGGGUUACAUUGAUUCUAGUAUCAACAGUGUGAGCAGCGGUGAUGUAUGGGAAGUUCUCAUUCUGAUGGAUUUCUGUAGAGGAGGCCAAGUGGUAAACCUGAUGAACCAGCGCUUGCAAACAGGCUUUACAGAGAAUGAAGUGCUGCAGAUCUUCUGUGACACCUGUGAAGCUGUCGCCCGCCUGCAUCAGUGCAAAACUCCUAUUAUCCACCGUGACCUGAAGGUUGAAAAUAUCCUCUUGCAUGACCGAGGCCACUAUGUCCUGUGUGACUUUGGAAGUGCCACCAACAAAUUCCAGAAUCCACAAAUUGAGGGAGUCAAUGCAGUAGAAGAUGAGAUUAAGAAAUACACAACGCUAUCCUAUAGAGCACCAGAAAUGGUCAACUUGUACAGUGGCAAAAUCAUCACUACGAAGGCAGACAUUUGGGCUCUUGGAUGUUUGUUGUAUAAAUUAUGUUACUUCACUUUGCCAUUCGGAGAGAGUCAGGUGGCAAUUUGUGAUGGCAACUUCACAAUUCCUGAUAACUCUCGAUAUUCUCAAGACAUGCACUGCCUUAUUAGGUAUAUGUUGGAACCAGAUCCUGACAAAAGGCCGGAUAUUUACCAGGUCUCCUACUUCUCAUUUAAACUACUCAAGAAAGAAUGCCCAAUUCCAAAUGUACAGAACUCUCCCAUUCCUGCAAAACUUCCUGAACCAGUGAAAGCCAGUGAGGCAGCUGCAAAAAAGACCCAGCCAAAGGCCAGACUGACAGAUCCCAUUCCCACCACAGAGACUUCAAUUGCACCCCGCCAGAGGCCUAAAGCUGGACAGACUCAGCCAAACCCAGGAAUCCUUCCCAUUCAGCCAGCCCUGACGCCUCGAAAGAGGGCCACAAUUCAGCCUCUACCUCAGGCUGCAGGACCCAGCAAUCAGCCUGGCCUUUUGGCCAGUGUUCCCCAACCAAAAGCCCAACCCCCACCCAGCCAGCCUCUGGCACAGUCUCAGCCCAAGCAGCCACAGGCUUCACCCAUCCCUCAGCCCACACCUUCCACCCAGGCCCAGGCCACACCCCAGCACCAGCAGCAGCUCUUCCUCAAGCAACAGCAGCAGCCACAGCAACUGCAGGCACAGCAGCAGCCGCAGCAGCCGCAGCCACAGCAGCCAGCAGGCACAUUUUACCAGCAGCCACAGCAGCAACAGACCCAGACUCAGCAGUUCCAGGCAGUACAUCCAGCAAGCCAGCAAGCAGCAAUUGCUCAGUUCCCUGUGGUGUCCCAGGGAGGCUCUCAGCAGCAGCUGAUACAGAACUUCUACCAGCAGCAGCAGCAACAGCAGCAACAGCAGCAGCAGCAGCUGGCCACAGCUCUGCACCAACAACAGCUGAUGACUCAGCAGGCUGCCCUGCAGCCCAAGACCGCAGUGGUGGUCCCGCAGCCCCAGGCACAGCCAGCUGCAGCCCCACAGCCAGCCCCUGCCCAGGAGCCUGCGCAGAUUCAAGCUCCAGUAAGACAACAGCCAAAGGUUCAGACAACUCCACCUUCUACCAUCCAGGGGCAGAAAGUUGGAUCUCUCACUCCUCCAUCAUCCCCCAAAACUCAGCGUGCUGGGCACAGGAGAAUUCUCAGUGAUGUAACGCACAGUGCAGUCUUUGGGGUCCCUGCCAGCAAAUCGACCCAGCUGCUCCAGGCAGCUGCAGCUGAGGCCAGUCUAAAUAAGUCCAAGGGUGGGAACCUACCUAGGUCUGCAACCACCACUCCAUCAGGCUCUCCUCGGACCUCCCAGCAAAAUGUCUGUAAUCCUUCAGAAAAUUCUACAUGGAAUCCCUUCGAUGAUGACAACUUCUCCAAGCUCACAGCUGAAGAACUGCUGAACAAGGACUUUGCCAAGUUGGGGGAAGGCAAGCAUCCUGACAAGCUUGGUGGCUCAGCAGAGAGUUUGAUCCCAGGCUUCCAGGCGACCCAGGGUGAUGCUUUUGCCACUUCCUCGUUUUCUGCCGGAACUGCUGAAAAAAGGAAGGGUGGGCAGACUGUGGAUUCUGGCGUCCCACUUCUAAGUGUGUCUGAUCCUUUCAUUCCUCUUCAGGUACCUGAUGCACCAGAAAAACUGAUUGAGGGACUCAAAUCUCCUGACACUUCUCUUCUGCUCCCUGACCUCUUGCCUAUGACAGAUCCUUUUGGUAGCACUUCUGAUGCUGUGAUUGAAAAAGCUGAUGUUGCUGUUGAGAGUCUCAUACCAGGACUGGAGCCCCCAGUUGCCCAGCGCCUCCCAUCUCAGACGGAGUCUGUGACCUCAAACCGCACAGAUUCUCUCACUGGGGAAGAUUCCCUGCUUGACUGCUCUCUGCUUUCUAACCCUACUGCUGACCUUCUGGAAGAGUUUGCCCCCCUAGCAAUCUCUGCUCCGGCCCAUAAAGCCAUGUACCUUCACAGUCAGCCAAGUAGAUGGUUGAGCCCACUGUCCACUAAUCUGCAGAAGAUAGUAAUCUCAUCUCAGGUUUUGAUGUCCCUGAGGGCUCGGAAAAGGUGACGGAAGAUGAGUUUGACCCUAUUCCUGUAUUGAUAACCAAAAAUCCACAAGGUGGGCACUCUAGAAACAGCAGUGGGAGCUCUGAGUCCAGUCUUCCCAACCUAGCCAGGUCUUUGCUGCUGGUGGAUCAGCUCAUAGACCUGUAGCGGUGACCCAGUAGCAGAUGAAGUUCUGUAACCUUCAUACUGUAAUACACGUUUUCACUAUGGAAUUAUGAGAAAAAUGAUCUUUUUAAAAAAUCUGCAAGUAAGGGGCCCUCUAGCUCCUUUCUCCUAUCCCUUGCCUUCUCCUAUAGAAAUGAUAAGGAAAGAAAAAAAAUCACUUUGGCCCUCCAGAUAUAUUCCUUGGCCAGUUCCUUCCUGUUAGUUUGCUGUGUUUUCUCAUUACCCUUCUUCAAUAGCAUUAUCUUAAAUCAAGCAGUAGAUGCCAUGAGCUUCACCUCUGCUGGAAUCAACUCCACCAAAAGCUUAACUGUAAUUGAACCUAGUGAACUGACACCUUUGUCUUAUUCUUGCUAGGAAUGGCCUCCCAAAUCAGUCCUCCCAGCCCCUGUCUCCUUGGCAAGAUGCUGAUGAAUGUGUUUCCCUGUUUUUGCUUUUUAUCCUGAUGCAUUGUUAUGCGGCCAAGCCUACUUGCAGCUUGUUUUAGCACUAGGCAGUAGCCUGGAGAUGGAGGUGGGGUUUCAGAGAGAGUAAAACUGACUGAUAAUAUAUAUUUGAGAAGAGAAAUUGAGCCCAGCUCUGCCCAACCAACUUUGACCUUGUUUGAUCAUAGACUUAGCCAAGGGAUUUACACCCCAUGCAACCUGCCCAGAAUUCGUCCAGCUUUCUGGCUUCUGUUGAAUCGUGAUUUCUCAGAUCUGGAGAUGUGACUGCAAGUACUUGAGAUCCUUGGAUAAAAUGUGUACGUUAUAUAAAUCCCAAGUAUUGCCAUUCCUUUUCAUGUUACCUGGCCCAAGCCAGGAUUUCAGAAUUAGACCAAAAUAAGACAGUGGUGGUAAUAUGGUAUCUUUUAAUAGAAGACUUUUCACUGGGGGGUGGCUGGGUGAGGGGAAGGAAUUGUAGCAGAAACAGAUGUAUUUUUCUUGUGAUUUUUAUUUUGAAUCAAAUAUUGUAAAUUGUGUAUAAAUGAAGACACUGAAUAGUUCUGUUUCCACUUGACGUUUCAAGUCUGAUACCAGGUGUCUGUACAGGGUUUUGAUCUCUUUUCCCUGUAUAAUCACACAGCUAUCCUACAGUGUAACAUAUGGAAUUAUUUUGAGUAGAUUGUGUGUCUUGAUAUAAGCUCUCAGCAGGUCCUCUGUCUCUGUAAAGUAAGCAUGUUGUUUAUUUUCAGAUAAUCAGAAAAAGUGUGCUGACAAGCUGGACACAGAUUGACUGUAGCUGCUUACUUUUUUUGGUCUCUGAUGUUUAAGUUGAAGGCUGCAGUCAAUGGAAUGUGUUCAGUUGGUUCUCCUUGGCUUCCUAGAUUUUAAAAAACCAAACAAAGCAUAGUUCUUCACUAACCUUAGACUAUUGUUCAUAAACUAAAUAAAGGUCCCUGCACUAAUAUGACAACAUGCCUCAUGGUCACCCUCUGUGUAUGUGCCUACUCAUCAAAGUGUAUUUUAUUUCUUUACUUGGAAAGCACUUUUAUAAAAUUAUCCUUUUGAGAAAGAAGUAGGCACAGAGAACCCCAUUGUUCUCUUCCUCAAGUGCCAUUGUCUGUGGUCAAAAAGGAGAGUCUUAGUGGAUUGGGUUUGUACAAAUAAAAUUCCAAGUCCAUUUGCUCAUUCUCUAUCUAGUACUUUUGGUUUUUCUUCCUCACAUUUGCACUUUAAGGGGGGAGGGGUUGCAACAAGAGCCUGCAAACACUGCACUGUGAGAACAGCCUGUGAAAAGGCACUGGAGGAAGAGUCUGAAUCUUUCAUUCUUCCUUCUGCCUUUCAAUACUCCUGUGCCAGCUAAAACUCGAUGAGCUAAGUAAAGGCCUCUGCUAAGAGAACAGAUCAUUUCCAGAAUUGAGAGAGGCACAAACUUGGUGCUGAGGAGAGAAAAGAUGUCCGUGAAAAGCUCUGUGUGAUUGGGUAGCAGUGGAAAUAGGAUUUGGUUCACUCCUUAUGGACAGGAAAAUUGCUGCAGGUCAGAACUGUAUUCCCUUUCUGGACAUAAAAAGAAUGUAUGAACUAAUGAAGGGAAUGUUUAUUUUUAAAUAAGGAUGUUUUAGUUCGAUGUUUUCGAAUUUGAUUUUUCUUCAUACAUGUAAUGUUAGAAAUAUAAUGAAAUAUCUAGUUUCUUAAUUUAAUUGAAACCAUGAAGAGUACAGUUUAGAAAUUAGGUGUCUCUAAAUUGUUCCUGUCAUGUAUUACUCAUAAUUACAUUGAGAUGUAUUAUCUAGUCAUUUAGCUCAAUAAAGCUUAAUGGAGAAAAUUAAUAAAAAUGAACAGAUUAAGAGCCAGAGACGAUGGUGGAAGCCUGAGGAAGGUAAUGAGAAAAUGUCUCAGGCUUAUUCUUUAGGAGUACAGCCUCUAGAUUAGAACUAUUUUUCUGUUGAGGAAUACACGUGGGUGAUUUGGUAAACAGGGCCUUCCUUAGCUUGUAACAUCAUCCCUGAGCUAAAAGAAUUUAUUUGAGAUGAGCAUAGUGUGUUAGUAAUUGGUAGACCUAUCGACUGAGCUACAUGAGGGACCUUAGCAACCAUCUGGUAGUCCAUUCACUUCAUUUUACAGGUAUGGCACCUGAGCUAGAUUAAGGCAGGAUGAUGAGAGAAGCCUGGGCAGGUCAGGCCAGCUGGUAUCUAAUCCUGACCCUUGCCAGGCUCUGGCUAAGUGACCUUCAGCGGGCACUUCACCUCUCAGAGUGGCUGUUACUUAUAGGACAAUAGGUUUAGGCUAGAUGGCCUUUAAAAUUAUAGAAGCAUAGUCCUAAAUUUAUGCCAUUAUGUUUAGAAGAACAAUGAAGGAUUUAUAUAAUCCUGAUGUUCUUCAGUUAUCUUCUAUACACCUGCUACUACUGUGGCAGCAUUUAUGUGUUAGUGAAUUGUAAUAGGCUUCUUACUAACCUCUUGCUCUUCUUAGCUAUCUGAAUAGAAGCCUAAAUCAUCACAGAGUUAUAGAUAUAGGUUUUCCUUUUUUAAUAUUAUACACACGUGCACAGACACACGUACCUACCUAUUCCAAUAAAACAGUAUCAGAAGAUUUCUUUUCUUUUAAAAUGUAUGAUCAAAAGUAUGUAUGAUCCGGGAUCUGGCAUUAAAAUAUGGGCAAAUACCAUAUGCAUGUAUUUUUUGUUUGCUUUUAUCCCAACUGGGUGAGAGUAGUAACUAUGGUAGAAAACAAUAUUUCUCCCUCACAGCAUUUGAAUGAUGAGAUCACCAAAUUCAAUUCCCAAUGUUUUGUAAGAAAACAGCCCUCAAAGAAGGUAAAGUUUAAAUGUUCACUUCAUUAUAAUUAUUUCUUUAGUGGAUAUAUUAAAAUUUUGACAUCAAAUUGAAUGUUAUUCUGUUCAAAAGCACCUGAUUUUACUUUGAAAAUUAAUACUUAUCCUAAUAAUACUGCUGUCAUUGAAGUUAUUUUUGAAACUCCUCUCUUUAGAAAUAACAUCAAGGAAGGUAGUAAGGUGUAAGGAAAUCAGUUGCAUUAUCUAAUUAGUAUCACUUUCAGUAUCUGAAAGUAUAUUCUCUUUCUUGAUCCACUAAUCUCACCACUCCUGUUUCUGAGUAACAUUUAACUAUUUCCAAAAAGCAAAAUCAUCCCAGUAAGAUGGAGAGUGGUUACUAUUCUUUUUGUUUGUUUGUUUGUUUGUUUUUGUUUUUGUUCUUUUGAGGCAGGGUCUCCCUUUGUAGUUCAGCCUGGCCCUGAACUCACUAUAUAGGCCAGACUGGCCUUGAACUCACAGUGAUCCUCCUGCCUCAGCCUCCGGAGUGCUGGGAUUACAGGCAUGCGCCACCACACCCGGCUGAGAGUGGUUACUAUUGACAGUGGUAAAGAGAGAAGAACCCACAGAAAAUUCUCAGAGAAGACCUUAUAAUAAAAAGUGAACAUAAUUGGUCUUAAUUUCUUUAAUACUCUGAAUAAGGGAACUUCAGUGAUUACCCAGUCUUUAGUGUGCAUUAGAAAACUGAAAGAUAGGAUUGUUUUUCAGUACCUCUGAAACAGGGUAUCACUUCAUUCAAUGUCGUUUGAUGUUGAACUUGGCUUUUCCUGAUUAGUAUUGUAGAAUUUAGAUUGCUAAAAGUUGGAGGAAAACAAACUUGAGAAAGGAACCUGUUUUUCUCAAAGCACAGUAUUUUUGUUUUGUUUUUAAUACUCUUUUCCUUCUCAUUUGAUAGAUAGUUGGUCAUUUUGAUUCAGGCCAGUAUGACCUUCCCCAAGGUCAGGAAUAUAGUUAGUUCUGUCUUCAGCAGUGCUGUGGGAACAAGGGGGCCACUGGGCCAAGUACCUAAAGGCAUCUACAUUCAGCUGAACAAAUGAAUCCUAUGGAUACCUUGAGCUAAAGUAGAGUCUCCCAUAAGUAGAUUGCUUUUUCUUUUUUGUUCUUUCUUUUUCUUUUUCUUUAAAUCUCUGUGAGUCCUUAACCUCAGCCUGUGAGAUUAUCAGGGUCCUGUGGCCACUAACUUUGAGUUUGGGGAUUAAAAAUUACAGCAUUCCCCAAUAUAUUGAAUUAGGCAAAUAGAUGCUGCCCAAUAGAAUAGAAAAACUAAACACUCCAGAUAUUGCAAAUCUAUCUUCUAUUCCUUUCCAGAAAGUAAUUUUACCAAUAAAAAUUAGCCUUUUUCUUCCAUACUGGUAAUGUUCCUAAAGUUGGAUGGAUUGGGUUUCUUGAAGUGGAAUGAAUCUGGCAUGGCCUCCUCUUUAAAUAAUCUGUAACAAGAUCCUAUUUUGUUUCUCUAGGGAUUCCUUUCACUAAGGUGGGAAAGGGAGGCUCCAUGGGUAAUGUUAACCUAUGCAAAGUUACCAAGUGGUGGUAGUUGCUAGAAUGGAAGACAUUUUUUGGUUCUCAUUCUGAUGCAGUGCCCUGAAUUUACUCUUUUCCUGUGAGUAUUCUACUUGACCCUAUUCAUACCCCAUUGUCAUGUGGAUGUAUGUUUACCAUAGGUCUUUAACCUGUUCUCAAGAAGACAAAGCAAACAGAUGUACAUGAAGCUAUCUUAUGCAGUAAAAAUGUGAAAUUCGAGCAUUGCUUUGCAAGUAUUGUAUAAAUAACAAGUCUGUAAACAAAUUUCUUAUGUAAACAUACAGGGAAAUAAAGACUUUUAUCUGUCCAAAUGAGAGCAUGAUGUUUAGAGAUGUAAAUAACUCAAAAUAGCUGCUGUUGUCCUAAACUGAAAACUCACUUUUGCAAAAAGGAUUUAAUCCCACUGUUGAAUGACAGUAAAUUCCAGAAGUUUAUGUGAGAGACACGGCAAGGACAUUCGAAUGAGUUAUAGCCACACUGGAGAAUAAAACUCAUGGUCAAGUAGAACAAAACACCUGUGAGCCUAUAUUUGCUUUGAUGAGACCUGGGGUUAUAAAUUGGAGCCCAGAUUUGCAGCUGCUAUUCUCUAAUUUGAUUUUUAAUAUACCCAGGCCUAUUUAAUUGAGCAUUUUAGGUUGACAAGAACAACUUUAUGCCCAACGAGAAAUUGCUCUCAUUUAAUUGCCUUAUACGCUUGAGAAGCACGGCAUCCAUAGCCACUGAUGGUUCAGAUCCAGUUGUGAGUGUUACUGUAGCUACCCAACAUAUCUACCCAUUUGGUAGAGCCAAAUGUUUACAUAUAUGUUUGAAGUCAGUAGGCCAUGGAAAUCAUUAGUUUAUUGUACAUCCCUUAAUUCUUUGAUUUGGUUCCAAGACUGUGAAUUUCAAUUGAUGCUGUAUUUCUGAAGUUCCUAUGAGGGGAUAUUUUGCUUCCUAUUCACUAUCUACUUGAGAAAGUUUCUCAACAUUCCAUAUCUUUUUAAGUUUUUGGCAAGAAUUUUGUCUUUGCUAUUCCCUUUAACUGUUACUUCAGUUUAUGGUAUGGAGAAAAAAACCCUCUGAUAUAUUAGAUUAAGGAACUUUCAGCCUGAAAUGUAAGUCUCGAUUUUGAUUCUGUGAAGCAAUCUGAUGACCCUUACUAUUUCAAUCAGAUAAAACUUCCAGAGUCAACCCAUCCCAAAUCAUCAUCCAGCACUUAAUUUUGGUUGCUUUGGAAGUCAAUAGGGACUAGUGAAGUUAGUUGCCAAGUCAUCUGACACUUUUGGGGACUGCUUUGCUACUCCCUGAAGCACAUGAGUUCUUAUUGAAACCUAUUUGGAACCUCAAAAUAAACAAAAAUGGAGUUGCCACUAGAGGAAGUAUCAAAAAGUGUGCUUUGGCCAGGGAUUUAGCUCAAUGGCACCUCGCCUGCCUUACGAGUGCAAGGUCCUGAGUUUGAUCCCUAGUACUCCCCCUCAAAAAAGUGUGCUUUAACCUGGUACAUAGUCCUACAUUAAAGCAAGAAAAAAAAAGAGUGUAUUUUGAUUCCUUGCUUAAUUUCAUGUGUUAAGCCAAAAUAAAAAGAGACAUGCAUGACCUAGUUUGAGAGAAUUAUAACAAAAUGCCUAACUUAGGCUUUGUGCUAAAUAAGAUCCUUGUACAGACUGUGAGGGCAGCCUCUGAGCCUAAGCCCCUGAGGAUCAGGCUUCCUUUGAGUUCUCUGGUCACAGAUUAUCUGCUGUGCAUGUCAUUGGUCACCAUAUGAACUGAUCCAAGGCUUGAGGUUAAAGUAGUAUAAAGCUUUCAUUGCUUUUAGGCAGUCUGCAUUAAAUAGGUUUUCCUGUUAGUACAAGGCUGUCUUCAUAUGCAGUGACUGUUCACCCUGAAAAACACAUUUUCCCCAUAACAGAUCUGCAUAUUC
Heterocephalus glaber (naked mole-rat) is the source of this 10038-nucleotide non-coding RNA. NCBI's taxonomy places the organism in Eukaryota, Metazoa, Chordata, Mammalia, Rodentia, Bathyergidae. The record is from RefSeq and is a predicted model, not a curated record.